This is a long non-coding RNA of Physella acuta, 417 nucleotides long. RefSeq lists it as uncharacterized. NCBI's taxonomy places the organism in Eukaryota, Metazoa, Mollusca, Gastropoda, Physidae. The record is from RefSeq and is a predicted model, not a curated record.
CUUCACAGCAUUGUCACGCUAUAGCCUACGUGCCAGUGGCCAUUCUUCGAAUUUGAUUCCGUAACAUUAUAUUGCCGAAAUCCUUCUAUCGCCUUGCGACCUUCUAAACAAAACACAUUUUGAAUUUCGAGAGAUGAGUGCAGAUGGUGCAAGACAUGCCUUUCCAAAGCAACCACGUCCGCCCCUUCUCGGGAUCAACUUUAGGAUAUUUGUGCCCCCGGAAAGAAAAGAACUGAAAAGUCUCGCCUAUCCUUUGCACUCAGACAUCAACGUCCAUGAAGAGCUAGACUAAAGUAUUUUUUUUAAAGUUUAGUACGGCUGUUUAAAUAAGUAGCCUGUCAACAUGAAUAUAGUUGGGCUAAAUUUUUAUAUGUUUUUUAUAACUAUGUUUAUAACUGUAUGUAGUUUGCUAUCAGU